RNAcentral lists this ribosomal RNA (497 nucleotides) under uncultured bacterium. Its description in RNAcentral is "partial 16S ribosomal RNA". It matches the Rfam family "Bacterial small subunit ribosomal RNA", at positions 28 to 507 of the family's 1533-position model. The record is from RNAcentral.
GAUGAACGCUGGCGGCGUGCCUAAUACAUGCAAGUCGAGCGGACGCAUGGCAAUAUUUCUUCUCUGAUCUUAGCGGCGUACGGGUGAUUAACACGUUCCUAACCUCUCUAUUAGACUCGGAUAACUUCGGUAAAUCGGAGCUAAUACGGCAUAAUAUUAUGUACCGCAUGGUUCAACACUGAAAGAACUUCUUGCUGUUACGUAUAGAUGGCUCCUCGCGGCAUUAGCUAGUUGGUAAGGUAACGGCUUACCAAGGCAACGAUGGAUAGCCGACCUGAGCGGGGGAACGGCCAUACUGGAACUGAGACACGGGCCAGACUCCAACGGGAGGCAGGAGUAGGGAAUCUUGAGCAAUGGGCGAAGGCCUGACGGAGCAACGAGGCGUGAGUGAUGAAGGUCUUAGGCUCGUAAAACUCUGUUAUUCGGGAGGAAGAGAUGAAAAAGUAACUGCGCACAUCUUGAAGGGACCUAAUCAGAAAGCCACGGCUAACUACGUG